CAAAGUCAGGCCCUUAGUGUGUGGUUUGUAAAUUAUUUUAACCUAAUAGUAUCAUUUUAGACUAUUUCAUCUCUUUCAUUUAACUCUUUUUAAAACAGCUUACUAUCAGAUUUGGUGCCUGGAAACAGCUGUACAAAGACACAGAGAUCCUGUUUUGAAAGGGUAUCUCUUGAAAGCACAUCCUAGUAGCUCUUGUUCUUGUAAGAUAACAUCCACGACCUGGUUUGUUUACAGCUAUUCUAACAAACGUGUUGCAGUCUCGCCUUCUUCCCAAUCCCGCUAGUCUAUCGCACGGGGGGUAGCCUGUGAGGGCUUUUUUCUGGGGCCAGCAGGUGCCGCUACCGAGCUGUGUGCGCCUCUGGGUUUGGGGAUGGUUAAUCACCGACCCAGGUUAAGUGAAACAACCAGCUGAAGAAUUGCAUGGCGGUGGCUGUUGAUUUUUCCCAAACGAGCGGCACUUUCAGUUCCAGUCUGGACCUGGAGAGCGGGGGAUGCAUUAAAUCCCGGGGAGAGGGGGGUGAUUCCGAUCCAUGCUGCUUCCUUCAGAAGAUGAGAGCCCCCUCCCCGAUCUGCAGGCAGCGGGGGCAGGAGCAGCAGCGGGGAGCCGAGUCAUGGGUGACGGCACUUUAAUGAAGUUUGUGGCAGGCUCAUGUUGGCAGUAGAGGUAGGUAGUCGAACAAUGGCCCUUUCCUAUAGCACCAUGAGAAGCUGUUUAUGAACAGAGGUGGGGGGAAAUGUUUUCACUCCCAAAUGGCGGAAUCUCUCAUGUGAGGCCCCAGUCCCCUAUCAGCCACUUUAAACUACUUGCUGACCCAGACCGAGCACAGUAAAGGCACAUUAGUGGCCACGUUUGGCGAUCCGGAAUGUGGGUGGGGUGGGUCUACAUGCCCCCUUUUUCUUUUAUUCUUGUAAGAGCACUUUUAAUGAGAACUUCCCCUGUUUCCCCUAGGCAACCCUAUGUGAUAUCAGUCUCCUGAGGGUAACAGGCGGAAAGGAAGGAGAUGCUGCAAGCAUCCGGGUAUAGACCCGGUCCUUAUGCUGAUAUGCUGUGUACCGCAAUGAUGCCAGCAGAAUUAAUUCAGGAGUUGCAGGGAAGGUGUGUCCUACCAUGGUGGAAGAAAUAAGACUGCCCUGCCCAGAAACCUUCUGCAAAGGAUUGCAGAGUACCUCCAUU
This 1174-nucleotide long non-coding RNA is filed under the name Chrysemys picta bellii (western painted turtle). RNAcentral describes it as "lncRNA (ENSCPBG00000020493.1)". The record is from RNAcentral. Lineage: Eukaryota; Metazoa; Chordata; Testudines; Emydidae.